CAUUUACGAUUGGAAUGCGGAGUUGGUCCGAGAUUUCAAUGCUCCAGCUGCAUGAAACGUUUCAAACAUCGACAUCAUCUGCGAGAUCAUCAAAGGAUCCAUCUAUAUGCCAAUUGCACCUUCGAAGCGCUGAACUGAGCUGCAUAUAUGGGACGUGUACGUGUAUGUGUACGUAUGUAUAUAUAUAUUUGUUUUUAUAUUAUAUAUAUUUAUUUAUUUAUUUAUUUAUUUAUUUAUUUAUUUAUUUAUUUAUUUAUUUAUUUAUUCGUACGAACGAAUCACGUGCAAUACUCGUUGUAGAGAUUUUUAUUGUAUCGUAUUUUAACUGAUUAGUUAAUUAAUUAAUUAAUCGAUACCUAUAAAAAAUCUUGAGAUAUUAUUUAGUUAAGUUUGUCUGUGAUCAACCUCUUGAAGAGAAAAAAAAGAUCUUUGCGCGUACUUAAAGUAUUAUAGUUAAUUGAUUAACCAUCGAACAAGUUUCUUUUUUCUUUUUUAAUUUCUUUCUCUUCUCUUUUUAAUCAACGCGUAACGUUAGACAAGAGGGAGAGAGGAAAUAAAGAAAAGAAAAAAAAAGACUUGAGAGGCUCGAGAUAGAUUAAUUAGAACGAUUUAAUACAAUUCGCAGCUUUUUCUUUUUCUUUUUUUUUUUUUUUUUUUUUUUUUUUACUUUAAAGCAGGUUUCACUUUAAGUACGAAAUAUUUAUAGAUUAAAAAAAGAAUAAAGAAGAAGUCGCGAAUUUUUCCAAAUUUUCGAUGUUCGUGGUAAUACGUGUAUAACCGUCGAGUUUGCGUGCCAAAAGGAAGAGAAUAUAUAUAUAUAUAAUAAUAAAUUAAAUAACAAAAAAAUAUGAUACGCUCGAUUUAAAUCUAUGUCCACAAUUACUUUGUUGUUUUAGAACUGCCGCAAGAUAGAAAAAGAAAUUCUUAGGCACGAAAAAUAAAAAAAAAGAAAAACUUGUUCUAUUGCAGAAGGAGAAGGAAAGAAAAAUAAAUAAAUAUAAAUAAACAAUGACACUUAGCUGGGAUAUUAUUUUUUCUUACAUCUAAAAAUUCCAUUCAAUUCAUUAUUUACCCCCAUAAAAAUUUAAACUCAUGCAAACUUCUUUAACGAUAAAUAAAGCAGUAAACAAUUUUCACUGUACCUUCGAUAAUACGAGAAAAAAAAAGAUAAUGAUCAAAUCGUUUAGAGAUCGGACGUAUCAUAUAAAUUCUAUAAUUACUUAUAUAUCUACGACUAUAUAUACAUACA
Long non-coding RNA from Vespula vulgaris, 1249 nucleotides. RefSeq lists it as uncharacterized. The transcript is spliced from 2 exons. Lineage: Eukaryota; Metazoa; Arthropoda; Insecta; Hymenoptera; Vespidae. The record is from RefSeq and is a predicted model, not a curated record.